Molecule: long non-coding RNA, 4296 nt
Organism: Phyllostomus discolor (pale spear-nosed bat)
Lineage: Eukaryota; Metazoa; Chordata; Mammalia; Chiroptera; Phyllostomidae
Exons: 2
Source: RefSeq, a predicted model, not a curated record
CCCUGGCCAGGUGGUUCAGUUGGUCGAAGCAUGGCCCCAUACACCCAAAGGUUGCACGUUUGAUCCCCAGUCAGGACAUAUGCCUAGGUUGCAGGUUCAAUCUCCUGUUAGAGUGCCUAUGGGAAGGAGGUGAUCGAUCGAUGUUUCUCACAUCUCUUCCUCCCCCUUCCUCUCUUUCUGAAAUCAAUGAGCAUAUCCUUGUGUGAGGAUUAAAAUAUAUAUAAACACACACACACACACACACACAUUGCAGAUUGUUUACAAACAUACUUCACAAUCGAUUGCGGCAUACUGGCGGGUCACCAGCUUGCCAAGAUGAGAACAUCUGGUGUGUGUUAAGAUUAAAGAACAAGGGAUUUGAAAUCAGUUCUGUUUCCAAGUUUUGGCUUCUCACCUAUUAACAAGUUCAAUCCAAAUGAGGUAAUGCUCUCUCAAAAAAUUCUAAUUGAUAAUUCAAAUAACCAUAGUUCUGUAAGUCAGUAUUGGCACGUUUGUACCCACUGCCUUUUUUCCUGAGCCGAGUUUCACUGGAACACAGCCACGCUCGUUCACUUACAGAUCGUCUACGGCUGCUUUCAGGCUGCGGCAGCCGAGCUGAGUCCUUGCAAGUGUAUGGCCCACGAGGCCUGAAAUAUUUACUGUCUGGCCUUUUCCAGAAAAAGUUUGCUGGCCACUAUGUAAGUUUCCCUAUCUUUUAGAUUCAAAUCGAUAAUCCAAAGGGGCUCAGCAUGCCAAAUUACUGUUUCAGUCAUCAGAGGAAAAUUUGUUUUGUCUGUGGUAGGGUCUCUACAGUGUGACUUUGUACAAAUAGGAUAAAGAUGUUCCUUUAGACAGUGAUUUUAAUAGACUUCUAUAACAAAACUCUUACUGCCAUCUGCCACGAACGUACUUCAUUAAUAAACAAUCUGCAGCAUCUACAACAUGAAUUGCGCUCCCCUGCGCGGCCGUCUGCAGCAGCCCCCGGCUGGUAACGUGCUCUGAUGGAGAUGCUCUGUUUGGAGUCGGUGCACCGAGGGUCCGGUUCGUUCCGAAAGCUGCUGCUCUCAGGCAAACCGCGUUGUCUGUCUAGGCCUCAGUUUCCUUACCUCUAACAUGGAAUAGCUUAAAGUUGUUUUGAGAAAUUAAAUAAAAUAGCAGACAUAAUAUUACUCUGUAAAGGCUCAGAGCUCUACAAAAUCAACCUCCAGCCAUGUUUCAGACGCCUUCUGUAGACCCAGACCGUAGCAGGGCCUGAAGAGAAGGAAAUCAGUUUAAAGAGUUUACAGUCUCACUGGAGGCCGUGGACGUGGGAGCUGCGUUGAAAAGUUACAGUCGAACCUAAAAAGCUGAUACAUUGGCACUAGUCAGAGGGCUGGUGACACUGCUUUGCAUCUGCUGACCUCCUGCUGUAUGCCAGAUGUAGGACCAAGCCUUUAAUAGGCUUCACCUCACAUGUGUAAUCUUCACAUCAGCCAUGUGAAGUAGGUGGUAUUAUCCACAUCUUGCAAGGAAAAAUAAUAACUGGCAUUUAUUAUUCAUUUGCUAUGUUCCAGACACUGUUCUAAGUGCUUUCCAUAUUUUAACUCAUUUCAUCCUUGCAAAAUCCACUGAGAUAUAUAUUAUUUUUCCCAUCUUCCAUUCAAGGAAAUUACUCGGAGAUUAAAUUAGUGCUUUCCAAUCCUUUGCACAUGAGGGCACACGUAGAAAAUUCUAAUGUUUGUUUGGCAUUCUGAGGUAAAUUGGAGAGGGCUUGAGGCAUCUAUCUGGGGCCAUUAACUUGACUGAGAUGAUUCAGCGGAGGAUUAGGAGAGGUGAUGUGGUCCCCCCAGACUGAUGUGUAAAGUAUGCAACCAAAUAACAAUGACUGUGUUCGAGAAAUCUCACCGGGAGCCAUCCAAAUAGUAUUCAGAUGUGACUUCAACUAUUAUAAAAUGAAUAGUACAAUAAAUCGCUUUAAAAGUUUUAUUAUCCAAGAAUUUACAACCAACAGCAGCAUUUUGUGGUGCAGCUGCAGUCUAGUCCUGCCUGGCAAACUCUUGAGUUCAGUUGCCUGCAAGGCAAAUGGCUAAGAGGUGGUUGAAGAAAAUCAAGACUUGAACCCAGGUGUGUCUGACACAUAAAUCCAUCCUAGCCUCAUCCGGUCUUGCUCUCCUGCAGUGAACAGCCACACUAUGUGACACUUACUUCAUUUAAUCUUUAGAGUGUUUCAUGAUUUGAAGUUUGAUCGUCCAGGCUCACUCUCAGGGCGACCCUAUUAUUAACCAUAGUUUUUAAUUAACUUUGUUCCUUCACCCUGGUCUCCAAAAAUGUCAGAACUAGCACUCCAUACUCCUUUCUGUUCACUCUCAACCAACUUGCAUAGCAGGAAGUAGGUGGGCAGGUGAGACAUAAGGAUUCUGUGUGUUGACUGGAGCAGACUGCCCCUGCACUCUGCAGGUGCCUGCUGGGGCCCUCUCUGUGGGCCUCUGCUCGCCUGCCCCCACUGGAAGGUGACUGCUAACAGAACGUCCGUUCCCAGCUCAGCCUGCUGUGCUGACCUGGAGAUGCUAGAUUAUAAUAAACGGCUACUUAGGCUAUCACCCAGCCCCUAAAUGCAGAAGGAACUCAGGAUUUGCCUUCUGUGCUUCACAAGGUACCCUUCUGAGCAGAAACAAUAACCCUGCUGUGCUUCAGACCACCCACCAUCCCCAUGCAGGUGAAUAUCCUGCAACUGAAGUUGGAGAUAGAUGUAUAGACACAGAUGUUACAUGUGUGUUUUACAUAACCAAGUUUUAUUGUGUAAUUUCCAAGUCCACUGCAUUUGAAUUUCACACUCCAGGCUGCUGCAGGGUGGGGGAAGCUGAAGGAGGUAGAGGACAUGGGUGGUAUUCCUGGCUUUGCCUGGCAUGCUGCGUGGCUGGUGUGCGGGUGGUGAUGUGUGGCAGGACAUCUGGGGCAAGGGUAGUGGCCCAUUAAGGCUCCUGAGCUCUGAUUAGAGAGAUCUUAGAGCCAGCAGGGCUGUCAACACUCAGUUUCUUUUUGAUUAAGGUUCUGCCUCUUAACCCCUGGAGGCCACUUAUCUUUCCCACCUCUAAGAAAAGAGAGUUAAAGCCUCAGGUCAUUGCUUAAUAGAAGUCCCAGGAGCUGAUUGGGCCAGAAAGGGCCUCUGUCAGCGAUCAUUCCAUUAUCAGACUCCACGACUGACAGGUGAGCUCCUGUCCUGCGAGGUGCAGAGCUGCGACGCUGAAACAGCCCUCAGAGGAGCCGCGUCUCAAGGAAGAGCAAAGACGCUUGGUGGAAACCCAGUGGUGAGGUAGAGAGGUGGGGGGGAACUGAGAUUAUUAAUUAUUGUGGUCACUUGGGAUAUUUUUUUAAGCCCAUGCUGGAGGAUGUGUCUUCCCAAAUAAGAGUUCUGUUUUCUCAUUGUGAUUUGGUCUAGCUCAUCUCAAUAAGCUUUGGUCUAUAAGCUCCUCACUCAGCUGCAGCUUUUUAAAGACAAACAUUUUAUCUUAUAAUUGUAUUCCUGAUGUAGGCACAGUGGCGAGCACAUAGCAACUGCUUGACAUCUUCUGUGCUGAAGUAGGUUUAAUAAUGUAAUAUUUUUGGAUUUGCUUUGAAAUAAUAUGGGAGGAGGGGGGAGUUGGGUGCAAGUAAAAUGAAACCAGAUUGGCCGUAAGAUGAAAACUAAGCUGAAUGAUAUCUCAUGGAGGUUCUUUCAGUCUCUGUUCAAUAUUUUCCAUAAUAAAAAGCGUUUCUUAUCAAUAUUUUAAUUAAGUAUAAAAAAUGUUGAAAGUCGCAGUGAAGACUGGCCCAGAACUCUCCCGACAGCCUCAUUCCCCCCCCCCCGAGGCACACAGCUAGAUUUCACUCUGGGGUGGGGCCGGGGUAGGGCCGUGUGACUUCGGUUCUGACCAAUAGAACAGGGACAAAAGUGAUGUCAGUCUCUUCCAAGUGCGACCCUUAUUCUGCCUGAUUCUCUAAAUUGUCUCUCAUCCCUUGCCUCCUGGCUGGAUGCAAAAAUUAGUGAAGAGCUUAAAACUGCUAGGCAAUGCUGGAGCCUCUGGGAACGACCUCAGGGAGCAGAACCGCUUCCCCACACUCCGCUGAAACAGACUGUGGUAGAACUGAGGGAUAGGCCUUUAUUGCGCUGUCUUUUUUAAGUACAGUAUUGAAUCGCCCAUACUCUGGCAAACUAGGUUUUGAGCCUAUCUAGACACGAGAGCAUGGGAGGAGACUCUCAGUGGUUGCUCAACCGUUCAGGGCAUCCGAAGCUAUAAUUACGUGCCUCUGAAAAUGAUGAUAAUGUUGAUGAUAAUAAAGCUAACGUUUAUUGACUAA